UACAGAGGUCCCAAGCGUUGUUCGGAUUCACUGGGCGUAAAGGGUGCGUAGGUGGCGAGGUAAGUCGGAUGUGAAAGCUCGGAGCUCAACUCCGAAAUGGCAUUGGAAACUACCUUGCUCGAGGGUUGGAGGGGGGACUGGAAUUCUCGGUGUAGCAGUGAAAUGCGUAGAUAUCGAGAGGAACACCAGUGGCGAAGGCGAGUCCCUGGACAACUCCUGACACUGAGGCACGAAGGCCAGGGGAGCAAACGGG
Molecule: ribosomal RNA, 253 nt
Filed under: uncultured bacterium
Lineage: Bacteria
Description: partial 16S ribosomal RNA
Rfam family: Bacterial small subunit ribosomal RNA
Source: RNAcentral